RNAcentral lists this ribosomal RNA (1436 nucleotides) under uncultured Pelagibacterales bacterium. Its description in RNAcentral is "bacterial SSU rRNA". It matches the Rfam family "Bacterial small subunit ribosomal RNA". Lineage: Bacteria; Pseudomonadati; Pseudomonadota; Alphaproteobacteria; Candidatus Pelagibacterales. The record is from RNAcentral.
AGAGUUUGAUCCUGGCUCAGAACGUACGCUGGCGGCACGCCUAACACAUGCAAGUCGAACGAAGUAGCAAUACUUAGUGGCAGACGGGUGAGUAACAUGUAGGUAUCUGCCCUUUGGCCUGGAAUAACACGAGGAAACUUGUGCUAAUACCGGAUAAGUCUUUACGGAGAAAGCUUUAUGCACCAUUGGAUGAGCCUGCACUUGAUUAGUUUGUUGGUAGGGUAAUGGCCUACCAAGACUGUGAUCAAUAGCUGAUUUGAGAGGAUGAUCAGCCACAUUGGGACUGAGACACGGCCCAAACUCCUACGGGAGGCAGCAGUGGGGAAUCUUGCACAAUGGAGGAAACUCUGAUGCAGCGAUGCCGCGUGAGUGAAGAAGGCCUUUGGGUUGUAAAGCUCUUUCGUCGGGGAAGAAAAUGACUGUACCCGAAUAAGAAGGUCCGGCUAACUUCGUGCCAGCAGCCGCGGUAAUACGAAGGGACCUAGCGUAGUUCGGAAUUACUGGGCUUAAAGAGUUCGUAGGUGGUUGAAAAAGUUGGUGGUGAAAUCCCAGAGCUUAACUCUGGAACUGCCAUCAAAACUUUUCAGCUAGAGUAUGAUAGAGGAAAGUAGAAUUUCUAGUGUAGAGGUGAAAUUCGUAGAUAUUAGAAAGAAUACCAAUUGCGAAGGCAGCUUUCUGGAUCAUUACUGACACUGAGGAACGAAAGCAUGGGUAGCGAAGAGGAUUAGAUACCCUCGUAGUCCAUGCCGUAAACGAUGUGUGUUAGACGUUGGAAAUUUAUUUUCAGUGUCGCAGCGAAAGCGAUAAACACACCGCCUGGGGAGUACGACCGCAAGGUUAAAACUCAAAUGAAUUGACGGGGACCCGCACAAGUAGUGGAGCAUGUGGUUUAAUUCGAAGAUACGCGCAGAACCUUACCAACACUUGACAUGUUCGUCGCGACUCUAAGAGAUUAGAGUUUUCGGUUCGGCCGGACGAAACACAGGUGCUGCAUGGCUGUCGUCAGCUCGUGUCGUGAGAUGUUGGGUUAAGUCCCGCAACGAGCGCAACCCUCACUUUUAGUUGCCAUCAUUAAGUUGGGCACUCUGAAAGAACUGCCAGUGAUAAGCUGGAGGAAGGUGGGGAUGACGUCAAGUCCUCAUGGCCCUUACGUGUUGGGCUACACACGUGCUACAAUGGUAUCUACAACAGGAAGCAAGACUGCGAAGUUAAGCAAAUCCCUAAAAGAUACCUCAGUUCGGAUUGCACUCUGCAACUCGAGUGCAUGAAGCUGGAAUUACUAGUAAUCGUGGAUCAGCGUGCCACGGUGAAUGCGUUCCCGGGUCUUGUACACACCGCCCGUCACACCAUGGGAGUUGGUUCUACCUUAAGGCAAGGUUUCAAACCCUUGACCACGGUAUAGUCAGCGACUGGGGUGAAGUCGUAACAAGGUAACC